UCUAGUCGCAAUAAAAAAGAGGAAAUUCAGCCAUGGAAACCAGAGAAAGAAGUUCAACUUUUUUAUGCAUUAGGUGACGAAGACCUGUUGGUAUAAAUAGGUUUUUCCAGAUGAUCUUUGUACAGGAAGAAUUUAACCGAUUAACUGGUCAGGAAGUUACCUCUGAAGUUAUUUGGAAAUACCUCGACACAAUUUAUGAUAUGGAUGUUUUAAAUGAAAACGAAGAUCUACCUUUUAGCAAUAAACAAAGUGAUUUUGUAUUACCAAAUGACUAUCAAAUACCAUCUAUUCCAUUGUCACUGCCAGCGACACCAGCCACUCCGACAAAGUCUCAGAAUAAAUCAACCAAAAGCUGAUAAAUAUUUUCACCAUGCUAUUUGAACCUCAACAAAGUGCACCAUAACUAGAUUUCAAUUGGCUAGCUGAAAAUGGAUAGUGAUUAAGAAAACCAUUGUAAUGCUUGCCGAUUGACUGAAGAAACGAAAUUUUAUUACGGCUUAUUCAAUUAAUUCUUUCUCAGAGUUAUUUCUUAUUCAGUUAUGCAGUUCAAUACGCAAUUAUUCAGUUAAUAUUGACCACAUAUUUAUUCUCAAAACAUAUUUUUAUUGACAGAAUACAUUUAUUGUUACAUUAUUAGUAAUCUCUACAAAAUGUACAUUGUAAAAAGCAAAGAUUCUUGGUCAAUUCAUUUACGAUCCCAAAUUUUCAGUUGGAGUUUGUAAUCUUUCAGCUCAUUAUUCAAAAUCUCCUACAGAUCAAACUGGUAUGACUGUAUCAUCUUACCAUUUAUUGGUACACUUCUUAAAUGUCUUACAACUUUAGUUUUAUGUGAUCAGUGUACAAGUGAGUUACGUUGAACUUGAAAAGUCAUUUCCAGCUAGUUGAUUGAUUAAAUUUUGGAUUUCUUUAACAAAUUUAA
This is a non-coding RNA of Tetranychus urticae (two-spotted spider mite), 919 nucleotides long. The record is from RefSeq and is a predicted model, not a curated record. NCBI's taxonomy places the organism in Eukaryota, Metazoa, Arthropoda, Arachnida, Trombidiformes, Tetranychidae.